This 181-nucleotide microRNA precursor is filed under the name Oryza barthii. RNAcentral describes it as "MIR812 microRNA precursor family". It matches the Rfam family "MIR812 microRNA precursor family". Lineage: Eukaryota; Viridiplantae; Streptophyta; Magnoliopsida; Poales; Poaceae. The record is from Rfam by way of RNAcentral.
UUUAAAUGUAGUCAUGAGUUUUCGUGUUCAACUUUGAUCGACCGUCUUAUUUAAAUUUUUUUAUUAGAUGAUAAAACAUGAAUAAUACUUUAUGAGUGACCUAUGUUUUUGAUUUUUUUAAAAAAAACUUAAAUUGACGAAUAAUUAAAUUUGGAUAUAGAAACUUAUGUCUGUGUUUAAA